GUUUGAGUAGCUCAGUUUGGAUAGAGCAACGGCCUUCUAAGCCGUCGGUCGGGGGUUCGAAUCCCUUCUCAAACGCCA
RNAcentral lists this transfer RNA (78 nucleotides) under Candidatus Phytoplasma sacchari. Its description in RNAcentral is "tRNA-Arg". It matches the Rfam family "tRNA". From Rfam's summary of the family: Transfer RNA (tRNA) molecules are approximately 80 nucleotides in length. Lineage: Bacteria; Bacillati; Mycoplasmatota; Mollicutes; Acholeplasmatales; Acholeplasmataceae. The record is from RNAcentral.